Molecule: ribosomal RNA, 328 nt
Filed under: uncultured eukaryote
Lineage: Eukaryota
Description: partial 18S ribosomal RNA
Rfam family: Eukaryotic small subunit ribosomal RNA
Source: RNAcentral
CCCUUAGAUGUCCUGGGCCGCACGCACGUUACACUGAUGCAUUCAACGAGCUUAUAACCUUGGCCGAGAGGCCUGGGCAAUCUUGUUAACGCGCAUCGUGAUAGGGAUAGAUUAUUGAAAUUAUUAAUCUUGAACGAGGAAUUCCUAGUAAACGCAGAUCAUCAAUCUGCAUUGAUUACGUCCCUGCCCUUUGUACACACCGCCCGUCGCACCUACCGAUUGGAUGGUCCGGUGAAGCCUCGGGAUUGUGGUUCUUGCCGCUUUAUUGUGGCGUGACCGCGAGAACUUGUCUAAACCUUAUCAUCUAGAGGAAGGUGAAGUCGUAACA